RNAcentral lists this transfer RNA (63 nucleotides) under Staphylinidae sp. BMNH 1274668. RNAcentral describes it as "tRNA-Pro". Lineage: Eukaryota; Metazoa; Arthropoda; Insecta; Coleoptera; Staphylinidae. The record is from RNAcentral.
CAGAAAAUAGUUUAUAUAAAAUAUUAAUUUUGGAGAUUAAUGAAAAAUUAUGUUUUUUUCUGA